CGUGGACACACAUGAAAAAAAACCCACCCCCGAGUCAAGCGACCGCGCCUCGCACCCCCAUCUGGAUCCGCCGCCUCCCCGCCGCCGGCCCGCAUCGUCCGCCGCGCCCUCCUCCCCGUGUCGUCCAAGUCCCUCGCGUGCAAUUCGCCGACGCCGAUGCCCAGGCCGCCGCACUCCGGGCUCGCGCCGGCCGUCUCGAGCGCGUGCCGCCGACCGCGACGGGCUGCUCGGCACACUCCGCGCCGCCACGGGCAACGGGUGGUAGGAGGAGGAGAGGGAGGUGCAGACAGCGGAGCUGGUAGGAGGAGGAGAGGAAGGUGGAGGAGGCAGAGGAGCCAGUAGGAGUAGGAGAGGGAGGUGGAGGCGGCGGAGGAGCGGACGGGGAUGAUGGGGACAGAUCGGACUACAAGCCAGAGGAUGAGGGCAUCACACCGCCUACCGAUUCCUUCCUCCUCGCGUCCCGGUUACAUGGCCGUCGCUGCGGUCGCCCAGCACCGACCGCCUUGCCCCGAUUAGCUUUUCUCAUGGUCAUGGAGCUAUCUCUUAUUAGAUCUGAUUGUAUCCCUGUUUAUGGUGAUUGGGUUGGUGUAGAUGAAUCGACAACUAAGCUCGGGACGUGAUAUGGUGCUCGGUGUAGGUGGCCAUGGUGGACCUGAAGCUGGCUGAGAUAAGCGAUGGGAUUGAGCGGCGGCGCUCCCGAUCCGAUUGGGAGUAGGACGACGGCGGCGAGCACAUGGCGGACGAGAGGAGGAGCAAGAGGGGAGGCGCGGAGGCAGGGCCAUAUGCAUCGGACGCGCGCGUUCGCCGGCAAUCAACGUGGACGCAUUGGCCGUCCAUGGCGGCUCAGGUCGAUGUAGGAGGACGAGGGGAGGAGCUCGCGAGGCCCGGCACUAGGACUGGAGCGGAGGUGGCUGGAUCUGGUGAUUCUGAAGGGGCUGGCGACGAGCGGCUCCGUGGGCGGCGACCUGCGGGGUUCAAGCGGCGGCUGCCAUGAAGGUAUGAGCGAUCUGGUUUCCCCUUUUGUUGUUCUAUACGAGGAUGAUGCAGAUGCCUUUUGGUGUUUUGAGAUGCUACUGAGAAGGAUGGUAAUUUGUAUCUAUGUCAAACUAUACUGCAGGUUGGUAUUUUUGCAUGACUUAAUACAUGAUAUAAAUUUUGUUGCAUCUCAGCAUGAAAAUUUCCACCUCAAGGGACCGACAGGAGUUAUGAAGCGGUUGGAAGCAUUGUGGAAGAUCAUGGAAUUGACAGAUAGGGAAGUAAUAAACUGGUAAGGAUCAAAUAGGCAAAUGGAGUCCUAAUUUUCUUGGAGGUAAAUCAAAGCUCAAUGCUGAACCCUUGGUACCUCCUCCAUGUUAUGUUAGGACAAGAAAACAACCCAAGGGGCACCAAACCAUUUAUGCUCAGCUAGCUUUAGAUUUUUGUUUUUGCAUAAUUAAGAUGACAAGUUUGCAGACAUACGAUACUAGCUAGCUAAUUUUAAUCCCAUUACAAUGUUAUAGAUAGCUUCCUGUAGCUCCAUGUUUUUACACCAGCAAGUGGCACAUUUUGAACUAACCUGGCCCUUUCGCCGGGCUGACAAAGUUGAGAUUUUUUUUUCAAUUUUGUUGCGGAGUCUGCAUACAUAUGCUGCGCGCGCGCUCACCCUCUGCUCAGACACGUUCAAGGCUCUCGACCUCAGCCAACGAUCUGCAUACAUAUGCUGCGCGCGCGCUCGCCCUCUGCUCAGACACCGUCAAGGCUCUCGACCUCAGCCAACGAUCUGCCGAAGAUAACGUGGCAGCCACCAACUUGUGGUUGCUCAGCGUGCGCUCCUUCAUCCGGUUACACAUCGACCACCACAAGAUAUGGUUGUGGUCUCGGCUUUUAGGAUGGAGGCCUUCAACUGCAUUUUCUCAUGGACGAACUGACCAAUGCAGCAUACCUUGCUUCAAUUUCUUUGUCGUAGAAGCUGAGAGUAUAUGGUCUGAAUUUAUAUUAUAGAGUGUGUGUAUGAGAACCGAUUCAGAGUAUGUUGGCCAUUUGCGUUCUGAAGCUUUUUGUUGUAUGAUUUCUAUGGGAGAGAAUGAUACACGAGCCAGUAAUAAUACAACUAAAAUUUGUGAACAUAUCAUUACAAAA
Long non-coding RNA from Triticum urartu, 2118 nucleotides. RefSeq lists it as uncharacterized. The record is from RefSeq and is a predicted model, not a curated record. NCBI's taxonomy places the organism in Eukaryota, Viridiplantae, Streptophyta, Magnoliopsida, Poales, Poaceae.